Molecule: ribosomal RNA, 424 nt
Filed under: uncultured archaeon
Lineage: Archaea
Description: partial 16S ribosomal RNA
Rfam family: Archaeal small subunit ribosomal RNA
Source: RNAcentral
CUACGGGACGCUCCAGGUAGGAAUAUUCUGCAAUGCGCGAAAGCGUGACAGAGCGAGCCAGAGUGUUUCUCUAUAAUUGAGAAACUUUUGCCAACUUUAAAAAUGCUGGCGAAUAAGGACCGGGCAAGACUGGUGCCAGCCGCCGCGGUAAUCCCAGCGGUCCAAGUCGCAACCACAAUUAUUGGGUCUAAAACAUCCGUAGCUUGUUUGUUAAGUCUCUUGUGAAAUUCUGCAUCUUAAGUGCAGAGCGUGCAAGAGAUACUGGUAAACUUGAGACCGGAAGACGUAAGGAGUACAAUCAAGGUAGUAGUAAAAUACGUUGAUCUUGGUUGGACUAACAACAGCGAAGGCACCUUACGAGUACGGAUCUGACAGUGAGGGAUGAAGGCUAGGGUCGCGAAAGGGAUUAGAUACCCCCGUAGUC